UACGAAGGGGGCGAGCGUUGUUCGGAGUUACUGGGCGUAAAGGGCGCGUAGGCGGCGAUCCAAGUUAGGCGUGAAAGCCCCGGGCUCAACCUGGGAAUAGCGCUUAAGACUGGGUUGCUUGAGUGCGGGAGAGGUGAGUGGAAUUCCCAGUGUAGAGGUGAAAUUCGUAGAUAUUGGGAAGAACACCAGUGGCGAAGGCGGCUCACUGGCCCGCAACUGACGCUGAGGCGCGAAAGCGUGGGGAGCAAACAGG
Molecule: ribosomal RNA, 253 nt
Filed under: uncultured bacterium
Lineage: Bacteria
Description: partial 16S ribosomal RNA
Rfam family: Bacterial small subunit ribosomal RNA
Source: RNAcentral